AUCCGGGUUGCGGACAGUGUCUGGUGGGUAGUUUGACUGGGGCGGUCUCCUCCUAAAGCGUAACGGAGGAGCACGAAGGUCAGCUAAUCCUGGUCGGACAUCAGGAGGUUAGUGCAAUGGCAUAAGCUGGCUUGACUGCGAGCGUGACGGCGCGAGCAGGUGCGAAAGCAGGUCAUAGUGAUCCGGUGGUUCUGAAUGGAAGGGCCAUCGCUCAACGGAUAAAAGGUACUCCGGGGAUAACAGGCUGAUACCGCCCAAGAGUUCAUAUCGACGGCGGUGUUUGGCACCUCGAUGUCGGCUCAUCACAUCCUGGGGCUGAAGUAGGUCCCAAGGGUAUGGCUGUUCGCCAUUUAAAGUGGUACGCGAGCUGGGUUUAGAACGUCGUGAGACAGUUCGGUCCCUAUCUGCCGUGGGCGCUGGAGAAUUGAGGGGGGCUGCUCCUAGUACGAGAGGACCGGAGUGGACGCAUCACUGGUGUUCGGGUUGUCAUGCCAAUGGCACUGCCCGGUAGCUAAAUGCGGAAGAGAUAAGUGCUGAAAGCAUCUAAGCACGAAACUUGCCCCGAGAUGAGUUCUCCCUGAGACU
RNAcentral lists this ribosomal RNA (585 nucleotides) under Kosakonia cowanii. RNAcentral's name for it is "partial 23S ribosomal RNA". It matches the Rfam family "Bacterial large subunit ribosomal RNA", at positions 2238 to 2822 of the family's 2925-position model. The record is from RNAcentral. Lineage: Bacteria; Pseudomonadati; Pseudomonadota; Gammaproteobacteria; Enterobacterales; Enterobacteriaceae.